AGCGAACGCUGGCGGCAGGCCUAACACAUGCAAGUCGAACGAACUCUUCGGAGUUAGUGGCGGACGGGUGAGUAACACGUGGGAACGUGCCUUUUGGUUCGGAAUAACUCAGGGAAACUUGUGCUAAUACCGAAUGUGCCCUUCGUGGGAAAGAUUUAUCGCCAUUAGAGCGGCCCGCGUCUGAUUAGCUAGUUGGUGAGGUAACGGCUCACCAAGGCGACGAUCAGUAGCUGGUCUGAGAGGAUGACCAGCCACACUGGGACUGGGACACGGCCCAGACUACUACGGGAGGGAGGAGUGGGGAAUCUAGCGCAAUGGGCGAAAGCCUGACGCAGCCAUGCCGCGUGAAUGAUGAAGGUCUUAGGAUUGUAAAAUUCUUUCACCGGGGACGAUAAUGACGGUACCCGGAGAAGAAGCCCCGGCUAACUUCGUG
Molecule: ribosomal RNA, 433 nt
Filed under: uncultured bacterium
Lineage: Bacteria
Description: partial 16S ribosomal RNA
Rfam family: Bacterial small subunit ribosomal RNA
Source: RNAcentral